ACCGUUGAAACACCGGUUCCCGUACGAUCCCCGAAGUUAAGCAACGUCGAGCCUGGCCAAUAUCUAGAUGAGUCACCGUUUGAGAAUACGAGAUGCUGUAAG
Molecule: ribosomal RNA, 102 nt
Filed under: Acanthosepion pharaonis
Lineage: Eukaryota; Metazoa; Mollusca; Cephalopoda; Sepiida; Sepiidae
Source: RNAcentral